UCUUUAUUCCGUGGAUCUCUCUUUGUAGCAGAGAACUGUUUAUAGACAAAGAUUAGAGCUCGAGUGGUCUUCAAGUUAAAGAUACAUAGUUUGUAUUUUGUUUGUAGUCUUCUGUGUUUAUAACAUUUUAUGUUGACAAGAUUGCUAAUAAUUUCCAUGUAUUCUCUUGUGUCACUAUGGACACCUGUUUCCA
Long non-coding RNA from Alnus glutinosa, 193 nucleotides. RefSeq lists it as uncharacterized. NCBI's taxonomy places the organism in Eukaryota, Viridiplantae, Streptophyta, Magnoliopsida, Fagales, Betulaceae. The transcript has 2 exons. The record is from RefSeq and is a predicted model, not a curated record.